RNAcentral lists this ribosomal RNA (229 nucleotides) under uncultured bacterium. RNAcentral describes it as "partial 16S ribosomal RNA". It matches the Rfam family "Bacterial small subunit ribosomal RNA", at positions 568 to 796 of the family's 1533-position model. The record is from RNAcentral.
CGCGUAGGCGGUUCUUUAAGUCGUGUGUGAAAUCCCUCAGCUCAACUGAGGACGUGCACACGAAACUGGAGAACUUGAGUCCGAGAGGGGAUAGCGGAAUUCCUAGUGUAGAGGUGAAAUUCGUAGAUAUUAGGAGGAACACCGGUGGCGAAGGCGGCUAUCUGGAUCGGAACUGACGCUGAGGCGCGAAAGCGUGGGGAGCAAACAGGAUUAGAUACCCUGGUAGUCC